This 246-nucleotide ribosomal RNA is filed under the name uncultured bacterium. RNAcentral describes it as "partial 16S ribosomal RNA". It matches the Rfam family "Bacterial small subunit ribosomal RNA", at positions 116 to 353 of the family's 1533-position model. The record is from RNAcentral.
CGUGGGUAACCUACCCAUCAGAGGGGGAUAACACUUGGAAACAGGUGCUAAUACCGCAUAACAGUUUAUGCCGCAUGGCAUAAGAGUGAAAGGCGCUUUCGGGUGUCGCUGAUGGAUGGACCCGCGGUGCAUUAGCUAGUUGGUGAGGUAACGGCUCACCAAGGCCACGAUGCAUAGCCGACCUGAGAGGGUGAUCGGCCACACUGGGACUGAGACACGGCCCAGACUCCUACGGGAGGCAGCAUG